RNAcentral lists this transfer RNA (85 nucleotides) under Felis catus (domestic cat). It matches the Rfam family "tRNA". From Rfam's summary of the family: Transfer RNA (tRNA) molecules are approximately 80 nucleotides in length. Their secondary structure includes four short double-helical elements and three loops (D, anti-codon, and T loops). Further hydrogen bonds mediate the characteristic L-shaped molecular structure. tRNAs have two regions of fundamental functional importance: the anti-codon, which is responsible for specific mRNA codon recognition, and the 3' end, to which the tRNAs corresponding amino acid is attached (by aminoacyl-tRNA synthetases). tRNAs cope with the degeneracy of the genetic code in two manners: having more than one tRNA (with a specific anti-codon) for a particular amino acid; and 'wobble' base-pairing, i.e. permitting non-standard base-pairing at the 3rd anti-codon position. RNAcentral also lists the same sequence under 2 other names. Lineage: Eukaryota; Metazoa; Chordata; Mammalia; Carnivora; Felidae. The record is from Rfam by way of RNAcentral.
ACCUGGGUGGCUCAGCUGGUUGAGCAUCUGACUUCGGCUCAGGUCACGAUCUCACGGUUUGUGAGUUCAAGCCCCACGUCAGGCU